AGGGAUUCCCUCAGUAAGGGCGACUGAAAUGGGAAGAGCCCAGCGCAUAAGCUCGCUUUGCCUUUUACCGGGCGCGAGCGGUGUUGCGUUUCGGAGGGUCCGGCACGCCGCCUUACGACGCCUAAGUCAUGUUUGAAAGCGGCCACUACCCAUUGAGGGUGAAAGGCCCGUCUGGCGGAGCCCGUGAGGGCAGAAGUGAGGCGGUCGGAAAGGACCUAUCCGUAGAGUCGGGUUGCUUGAAAGUGCAGCCCAAAGGAGGUGGUAAACUCCAUCUAAGGCUAAAUAUGACCACGAGA
This 296-nucleotide ribosomal RNA is filed under the name Pagurus beringanus. Its description in RNAcentral is "partial large subunit ribosomal RNA". It matches the Rfam family "Eukaryotic large subunit ribosomal RNA", at positions 70 to 333 of the family's 3401-position model. The record is from RNAcentral. Lineage: Eukaryota; Metazoa; Arthropoda; Malacostraca; Decapoda; Paguridae.